This 484-nucleotide ribosomal RNA is filed under the name uncultured bacterium. Its description in RNAcentral is "bacterial SSU rRNA". It matches the Rfam family "Bacterial small subunit ribosomal RNA", at positions 30 to 507 of the family's 1533-position model. The record is from RNAcentral.
AUUGAACGCUGGCGGCAUGCCUUACACAUGCAAGUCGAACGGCAGCACGGGAGCAAUCCUGGUGGCGAGUGGCGAACGGGUGAGUAAUAUAUCGGAACGUGCCCAGUCGUGGGGGAUAACGUAGCGAAAGCUACGCUAAUACCGCAUACGAUCUACGGAUGAAAGCGGGGGAUCGCAAGACCUCGCGCGAUUGGAGCGGCCGAUAUCAGAUUAGCUAGUUGGUGGGGUAAAAGCUCACCAAGGCGACGAUCUGUAGCUGGUCUGAGAGGACGACCAGCCACACUGGAACUGAGACACGGUCCAGACUCCUACGGGAGACAGCAGUGGGGAAUUUUGGACAAUGGGCGCAAGCCUGAUCCAGCAAUGCCGCGUGCAGGAUGAAGGCCUUCGGGUUGUAAACUGCUUUUGUACGGAACGAAACGGUGAGCUCUAAUAAAGCUUGCUAAUGACGGUACCGUAAGAAUAAGCACCGGCUAACUACGUG